RNAcentral lists this ribosomal RNA (22 nucleotides) under Trichoderma harzianum. RNAcentral describes it as "partial 18S ribosomal RNA". Lineage: Eukaryota; Fungi; Ascomycota; Sordariomycetes; Hypocreales; Hypocreaceae. The record is from RNAcentral.
CAGUUGUCCGCGGAAGGACAUU